UACGUAGGGUGCAAGCGUUGUUCGGAAUUACUGGGCGUAAAGAGUGUGUAGGCGGUUUUCUAAGUUUGGUGUGAAAUCUCCCGCUUAACUGGGAGGGUGCGCCGAAAACUGGAAGGCUUGAGUGCCGGAGAGGAUAGCGGAAUUCCCCGGUGUAGCGGUGAAAUGCGUAGAUAUCGGGAGGAACACCUGUGGUGUAGACGGCUAUCUGGACGGCGACUGACGCUGAGACACGAAAAGCGUGGGGUAGC
This 248-nucleotide ribosomal RNA is filed under the name uncultured bacterium. RNAcentral describes it as "partial 16S ribosomal RNA". It matches the Rfam family "Bacterial small subunit ribosomal RNA", at positions 524 to 769 of the family's 1533-position model. The record is from RNAcentral.